ACUAAACCCAAAUUCGAGAUGGAAGAGUUGAAGGAUUUGUGGUUAACUAUUGGGAACGAUAUGGCCCUCAACUCUGCGAGGUCCAAGAGCAACCAAAUUUGAAGCCCUGUGAUCCGCUACUAUCAACGCUCUGUAGCGAAUGUUCUGUACUCCAGGGAAUCUACAAGCACAGUGUCUAACACAGACAUGGAGAUGAUAGAUUCUGCACUCAAGGGCAUUCUCCGCAGAACAAAUGGGAAGAAGGUCCUGAAGGGCGACCUCAAUGAUGCACCACCGGUUAUGCUUCUGUUGAUCCACCUGUGUGGAUACAGGAAGUGGGCACACACCAACGAGAAGAAGAGGGCGCGAGGAGCCCUUUGUGUAGGUGGUGUUGUGACACCAAUUCUGAUAGCCUGUGGUGUACCUCUCACGUCCCUAGGGUUCGAUCCGAGGAUGAUGGACUUAGAUCACUUGCGUCGUUGUGAGUUUCUGGAGCACGACAUGGUCGACGAUUUCUAUCACUACAAAUUCGAGCACUCCUUGACCCGAACAGCCAACAUUCUGCUUCCCUGCACUGAAGCCACAACCAUACUCCAUGGCGAAAACAUUGACUUCAAGCCUGAGCGUGAUUGUCUCUACUUUGAGAGCGCUCCACCGACUGAUGACAACGUCCCUACAACAGAACCUACAGGGGAUGAGAUUGCUGAGAAAGAUGAGGAUAGGGAGGAGGAGUAUGAUACAAGCAUGUAUCAUUUCAGUGAGCAUGUACCUCCAGCGUGGGAGAGCAAGAGCUUGAGUGAAGCUCAGAGAAACAACAGCAAGUUGCAGAAGUGGUGCAAGAAACAAGAUAGCCUACUCAUCAAGGGCUUCAAGGCCAUCAAGUUUCUGACAGACAAGCUAAGCUGCUCCUCUUCCACCACAGCUAUUCCGCAGGGACAACCUCCUCAAGACAUGCCCUUGAGGAGAUAUGACGCGCCAAAGCCAAGCCAAGUCACCACAGGCCUGAGCCUAGUGACCAAGUAGUCUCACAAGUCCCUGCGAGGCAUUCAUCAUUCGAGCCUUGGGAGUUCGGGAGAAAGAAAAAGGCUGCACUGGCUCGGUCUAGCAGCAAGAGUACACGACUUCUCCAGUCUUGAAGCUUACGCGACCACGAUGCUGGCCGCAGAAGAAGAAGAGAGGUCGAGUAUCAUCAGAGCGGUGCUGGCCACGACGAAGGAGCAGAGGUCGAGUACCCCCAUGGCGGAGCUGAGACACAACAAGGAGAUUCUUCAAUGGCCUGGGAGCAAUUACUGGCAGCUAUUGACGACCAACUCCGCUCCUUUUUCUACUGAUGUAAGCACAUCACUUCACCAUUGUAUUAUACAAUCUCCUGUUUCUAUUUUGUUUCUGCGAUGUGUUUUGUCCUGAGUACUCUCUUCCAAGUUUGGUCACACAGUGGACUGUGUGAUUUAAGUUUGGGGAAGGGCUCAGGAAGUGUGUAUUGCAUUGUAUAUAAUCUUGAGUCUGCAUUCAUCAAAGGCAUAGAAAAAACCAAAAAAAAUGAAAAAUUUCAUAAAAUGAUUUCACAAAAAUAGAGUGUUCAUGUAGUUGCAUUACAUUUAGGAUCGAGUUUAGAGUGUUUCAUUUAGGAUUGUUGCAUAUGCAUAGGGGAUAAUGAUGAGAUAGCCUUGUAAGCAUUUUGGUUCACCAGAUAAACUCACUGUGGUCGAGUAGAACAUUCUAGUAGAACAAUCUAGGCAUGGUGCACUUUUACUUCAAUUUCAUUGACUACGCAUCAGACAAUGCUUACAAAAGUAACCGGUGGUGUGCCGUGCUACUCACUAUGCUUAAUAGUAUUCAUCCCAACUCUCUUGUAAAUCCCUAGAACUAAGCAAGCAUUAUAAUCAGGUUUGAUAAGUUCACCUAAGUAAUGGAACCUAGCACGCAUCUAAAUACUAGGCUCAUCUAAAAUAGUUCCAGUAUUAGAUACCUAUGGUGGGCAUACCUAAUAACCUAAAAUCAAGUUCUAGCUAUUUACUCUAGAACUAACUAGAACUAGCAUUAAGAAUAAUCAAAGAUAAAGAAUUCUAAAUAUAUUAUCCUAACGGGGGUUUUGAUCUACUAAUUCAUCCAAAUCCCUAAUGAGAAUCCCUAAACCCAACAAGAGAACUACUCAAGCAUGAUCAUAGAAGAAUAAAACAUGAUUGAAUAAGAAAUCAAUAAUGAAAUUAAAAAGAGAAAAGAGUUUAGAAGAAUCUUCUCUAAAGGGAGUCUCCACAGGAUUUUGCUCCCAAAAAUAAAAGAGAUAAUGAGAGUUAGGUCUAA
RNAcentral lists this small RNA (2283 nucleotides) under Arabidopsis thaliana (thale cress). Its description in RNAcentral is "ATSL092190". The stretch from base 689 to 909 matches the Rfam family "MIR854 microRNA precursor family". Lineage: Eukaryota; Viridiplantae; Streptophyta; Magnoliopsida; Brassicales; Brassicaceae. The record is from RNAcentral.